Molecule: non-coding RNA, 85 nt
Organism: Acanthosepion pharaonis
Lineage: Eukaryota; Metazoa; Mollusca; Cephalopoda; Sepiida; Sepiidae
Source: the annotation of a GenBank genome assembly
UGCCAUACAAUCACCGAAGUUAAGCAACGUUGAGCCUGGUUAGUACCUAGAUGGGGGACUGUUUGGGAAUACCAGGUGCUGUAAG